RNAcentral lists this ribosomal RNA (2902 nucleotides) under Klebsiella quasipneumoniae. Its description in RNAcentral is "23S ribosomal RNA". It matches the Rfam family "Bacterial large subunit ribosomal RNA". Lineage: Bacteria; Pseudomonadati; Pseudomonadota; Gammaproteobacteria; Enterobacterales; Enterobacteriaceae. The record is from RNAcentral.
GGUUAAGCGACUAAGCGUACACGGUGGAUGCCCUGGCAGUCAGAGGCGAUGAAGGACGUGCUAAUCUGCGAAAAGCGUCGGUAAGGUGAUAUGAACCGUUACAGCCGGCGAUGUCCGAAUGGGGAAACCCAGUGCAAUUCGUUGCACUAUCGUUAACUGAAUACAUAGGUUAACGAGGCGAACCGGGGGAACUGAAACAUCUAAGUACCCCGAGGAAAAGAAAUCAACCGAGAUUCCCCCAGUAGCGGCGAGCGAACGGGGAGCAGCCCAGAGUCUGAAUCAGCUUGUGUGUUAGUGGAACGGUCUGGAAAGUCCGACGGUACAGGGUGAUAGUCCCGUACACCAAAAUGCACAGGUUGUGAACUCGAAGAGUAGGGCGGGACACGUGGUAUCCUGUCUGAAUAUGGGGGGACCAUCCUCCAAGGCUAAAUACUCCUGACUGACCGAUAGUGAACCAGUACCGUGAGGGAAAGGCGAAAAGAACCCCGGCGAGGGGAGUGAAAAAGAACCUGAAACCGUGUACGUACAAGCAGUGGGAGCACCUUUAUGGUGUGACUGCGUACCUUUUGUAUAAUGGGUCAGCGACUUAUAUUCUGUAGCAAGGUUAACCGUAUAGGGGAGCCGCAGGGAAACCGAGUCUUAACUGGGCGUUAAGUUGCAGGGUAUAGACCCGAAACCCGGUGAUCUAGCCAUGGGCAGGUUGAAGGUUGGGUAACACUAACUGGAGGACCGAACCGACUAAUGUUGAAAAAUUAGCGGAUGACUUGUGGCUGGGGGUGAAAGGCCAAUCAAACCGGGAGAUAGCUGGUUCUCCCCGAAAGCUAUUUAGGUAGCGCCUCGUGAACUCAUCUUCGGGGGUAGAGCACUGUUUCGGCUAGGGGGUCAUCCCGACUUACCAACCCGAUGCAAACUACGAAUACCAAAGAAUGUUAUCACGGGAGACACACGGCGGGUGCUAACGUCCGUCGUGAAGAGGGAAACAACCCAGACCGCCAGCUAAGGUCCCAAAGUCAUGGUUAAGUGGGAAACGAUGUGGGAAGGCACAGACAGCCAGGAUGUUGGCUUAGAAGCAGCCAUCAUUUAAAGAAAGCGUAAUAGCUCACUGGUCGAGUCGGCCUGCGCGGAAGAUGUAACGGGGCUAAACCAUGCACCGAAGCUGCGGCAGCGACACUAUGUGUUGUUGGGUAGGGGAGCGUUCUGUAAGCCUGCGAAGGUGACCUGUGAGGGUUGCUGGAGGUAUCAGAAGUGCGAAUGCUGACAUAAGUAACGAUAAAGCGGGUGAAAAGCCCGCUCGCCGGAAGACCAAGGGUUCCUGUCCAACGUUAAUCGGGGCAGGGUGAGUCGACCCCUAAGGCGAGGCCGAAAGGCGUAGUCGAUGGGAAACAGGUUAAUAUUCCUGUACUUGGUGUUACUGCGAAGGGGGACGGAGAAGGCUAUGUUAGCCGGGCGACGGUUGUCCCGGUUUAAGCAUGUAGGCUGGUUAUCCAGGCAAAUCCGGAUAAUCAAGGCUGAGGUGUGAUGACGAGGCACUACGGUGCUGAAGUAACAAAUGCCCUGCUUCCAGGAAAAGCCUCUAAGCAUCAGGUAACAUCAAAUCGUACCCCAAACCGACACAGGUGGUCAGGUAGAGAAUACCAAGGCGCUUGAGAGAACUCGGGUGAAGGAACUAGGCAAAAUGGUGCCGUAACUUCGGGAGAAGGCACGCUGGUGUGUAGGUGAAGUCCCUGCGGAUGGAGCUGAGACCAGUCGAAGAUACCAGCUGGCUGCAACUGUUUAUUAAAAACACAGCACUGUGCAAACACGAAAGUGGACGUAUACGGUGUGACGCCUGCCCGGUGCCGGAAGGUUAAUUGAUGGGGUUAUCCGUAAGGAGAAGCUCUUGAUCGAAGCCCCGGUAAACGGCGGCCGUAACUAUAACGGUCCUAAGGUAGCGAAAUUCCUUGUCGGGUAAGUUCCGACCUGCACGAAUGGCGUAAUGAUGGCCAGGCUGUCUCCACCCGAGACUCAGUGAAAUUGAACUCGCUGUGAAGAUGCAGUGUACCCGCGGCAAGACGGAAAGACCCCGUGAACCUUUACUAUAGCUUGACACUGAACAUUGAGCCUUGAUGUGUAGGAUAGGUGGGAGGCUUUGAAGCGUGGACGCCAGUCUGCGUGGAGCCAACCUUGAAAUACCACCCUUUAAUGUUUGAUGUUCUAACGUUGGCCCCUGACCGGGGUUGCGGACAGUGUCUGGUGGGUAGUUUGACUGGGGCGGUCUCCUCCCAAAGCGUAACGGAGGAGCACGAAGGUUAGCUAAUCCUGGUCGGACAUCAGGAGGUUAGUGCAAUGGCAUAAGCUAGCUUGACUGCGAGCGUGACGGCGCGAGCAGGUGCGAAAGCAGGUCAUAGUGAUCCGGUGGUUCUGAAUGGAAGGGCCAUCGCUCAACGGAUAAAAGGUACUCCGGGGAUAACAGGCUGAUACCGCCCAAGAGUUCAUAUCGACGGCGGUGUUUGGCACCUCGAUGUCGGCUCAUCACAUCCUGGGGCUGAAGUAGGUCCCAAGGGUAUGGCUGUUCGCCAUUUAAAGUGGUACGCGAGCUGGGUUUAGAACGUCGUGAGACAGUUCGGUCCCUAUCUGCCGUGGGCGCUGGAGAAUUGAGGGGGGCUGCUCCUAGUACGAGAGGACCGGAGUGGACGCAUCACUGGUGUUCGGGUUGUCAUGCCAAUGGCACUGCCCGGUAGCUAAAUGCGGAAGAGAUAAGUGCUGAAAGCAUCUAAGCACGAAACUUGCCCCGAGAUGAGUUCUCCCUGAGACUUUAAGUCUCCUGAAGGAACGUUGAAGACGACGACGUUGAUAGGCCGGGUGUGUAAGCGCAGCGAUGCGUUGAGCUAACCGGUACUAAUGAACCGUGAGGCUUAACCUU